This 1596-nucleotide long non-coding RNA is filed under the name Pongo abelii (Sumatran orangutan). RNAcentral describes it as "lincRNA". Lineage: Eukaryota; Metazoa; Chordata; Mammalia; Primates; Hominidae. The record is from RNAcentral.
AGAUAAAUAUUCCCCACGCCAGCAGGUGAGGAGGCUGGGGCCAGAUGACAGCUAGUGAGGGAGCAGAGACAAGACGGGCGAGCCUGUGACAGAGUGAGACCCUGUCUCAAAAAACAAAAACAAGACAUGUGAGCUUGGACUCCAGUGUGGAAUCCCGUGUCCACUCAGCGCACCUUUCUGCUGCUGAAAAUACAAGUGGAGAGGGGAAACCCACAGGUGGAGCUGACCAUGAGGACUGUCACAGGUGAGGGUGAGAGGAAGCUGGAGAUGGAAGGUGCAGCCGGGGGAACCCACCAGGCAGGUCCCAGGGAACUCUUUGAAUAAGAGGACACCAGAUCACGCCUGCAGUUCCAGCCCAGGGUGAGGUUGAAACACUUAUGCUUCCUAUUUAAAGCCACAUCUCAUUCAUCAUUUCAGCACCAAUCAACAAUUAAACCUGAUUCAAUGGAGCCCUGACAACUAAUUUAAACCGAGCCUCACAAUCGGCCUGACACUGGCUAUUUAAAACUCUGUCCUGGCCUCUGGGGCCUUUCGGAACCAGGACUGUUUGUACUGCCAAGAGCAAAGCCCCACCCGCUGUGGCCUGGAUCCCCAUGUAGGUAGUGUGCAGAGUCUGUUCCAGCCAUCACUGUCUCUGCCCGGCUCCCUGUAGGGCUGUGGGAGGGUUCUGGGAGAGGUUGGGAAUGCCAGGAGGAGGAAUUGGUGAAGCAAAGAAAAGGCAAAAGCCCACUGAGAGGUCUAAUGAGCCCCAGGUGCACACACUUAUGUUGUGUGUGGCUUUCUUCAGGCCCUGGGCAAAUGUGGUGGCCUGGGGUGUAUUGGGAGCAUCAGAACCCAGGUCGAGUCCUGACUCUGCAAUCCAUAAACCAGUUCCGUGACCUUGCCCAGGUCCUUCCUUAGUUUCCUCACCAGUGUGGUGAGAAUAACAAAGAUCUCUUCCCACACCAUCUCCCUGGGAGUUAAGAGAUUCCCCCAUAUCUGGUGAUCCCAGGUAAAGCACAUGGAAAACCACCAAGUCCUAAAGCAUAGAAGUUCUGAGCAGAGCAGGCCUAAGCUUGUAUGGGGCCUGGUGCUGUGGGGCAGCAUGGCAGAUUCCAGCCUGUGGUCAUUAUAGGGUUGUCUGGUGUCCCCAUGGCUCUCUAGGGGUGAUGGAAAACAGCCUCAUAUAACUAAGUGUGGACAGUAACCCCUCCAGGCUGAGAACUGGGUCCAGACUUGUGUAGUCAGAGACAUCUUCCUGGAGGCAGUGGACUUGAGCCGAGCUUUGGAGGCUGCAAGAAUUGAGUAAGUCAGCCGGGCGCGGUGGCUCAUGCCUAUAAUCCUAGCACUUUGGGAGGCCGAGGCGAGUGGAUCACCUGAGGUCAGCAGUUUGAGACUAGCCUGGCCAACAUGGUGAAACCCCAUCUUUACUAAAAAUACCAAAAAAAAAAAUUUAGCUGGGCAUGGUGGUGGGCACCUAUAAUCCCAGCUACUCAGGAGGCUGAGGCAAGUGAAUCGCUUGAACCCAGCAGGGGUGGAAGUUGCAGUGAGCCAAGAUCGUGCCACUUCACUCCAGCCUGGGUAAAAGAGCAAAACUCCGUCCAAAAAUAAAAAAGA